Molecule: long non-coding RNA, 1944 nt
Filed under: Numida meleagris (helmeted guineafowl)
Lineage: Eukaryota; Metazoa; Chordata; Aves; Galliformes; Numididae
Description: lncRNA (ENSNMEG00000007762.1)
Source: RNAcentral
GACUGCGGUGCGUGGACCUGCUGGGUGAUGCCGAGAGCACUGCCAGGGCAUGGGGCAUCCAACGCCGAGCAGAGAACAGCACCAGGAGAGCUGCCCUCAGGUGGUUGGUGGAGAACCUCCUGGGCAAGGGAUCCUGUGCUGGAUUCCCUGUGGCAAAGGUCUCCCAACCCUCCCGUACCCCCGGCUGGGUGACAGGUGGGACAAGAGGGUGGCUCCUCACUGCUCUGUGAAUAAGGCCCUUCACUUCCAUCGCUUUGUUCUCAUGCGUAUGGGUGCAGCAGAAGGAAAGCAUUUUAUUUUCACUACCCGCAGCAGCUUAAUGGGUUCUGAACAGAACCUGAAGUGUGCAUGGAUUUAGCAGGGAAAAAAAAAGAAAAAAAGAAGAAUAAAAGAAAAAAAAAGAAAAAAGCAAGCUAUAUUUCUUCUUGGUUGGGACCCAAAUCUCUUUCUUCUCUUCUCCCACUACCACUUCUCCCAUUUGCUCCCACUGUAAGUUCGGAAGAGUGGUAAGUGAUGGGAGCGCCUUGUGUGUGCGGUGCUAAUGCUGGCUGCCGCACCGCGACCCCCCCGACCCCCCCGGAGCUCCCCAGCUCCCAGCACGGCUCCAGCCCGUCCUCCGCCGCCGUUUCUCCCGCUGUCACUGGAGGGAGCUGCCUCUCCUCCAUCCGGCCCCGAGCUGCGGAGCGCGCCGGGGGGUGGAAGCAGGCGGGGGGGGGGCGGUCACGGAAAGCCGUGGAUGCGGUCACGCGCGUGUGUGGCACGAGGGGAUGUGCUGACGGAUACCUGUAGUCAGGUGAAGGCACGGCGCUGUUUUGUCUGGCCCCGGUGCCAGCCUGGAUGGGCUGUGUUUGGGAAGAUCCAGGCUCCUGCUGGAUCCCCAGAUCCCUUCACAUGUAACAGCUGCCUCGAAGCUGCAAUACCGAUGGAUAUUGCUAGAUGAACAUGGAAUAAGGAAAAACCAGCUCAUGGUCACCGCUGCCCCAGGGCCUCAUUUCCAGUGGAAAAAUGUGGAUGCCUGUAAGCUUCAUGCAGACUGGAACCUACUGGUGGGGCUGGAACAGAGACUGAUAGCUCCUUACAGCUACUGGGAAUGUUCAGGCCAAGAAGACUUCGAGCACCCAAGGAGCAAAGUCUCUGAAUGCAGAGUCCUUGCACAUCUCCCCCAGAGCUACCAGUGCACUAUUAGGCAAAUAAUCCAGGCAGGACACUUACAGGCUUCUUUUUAUUAAAAGACAUUUUCAGAAAAGAUAUUUUAGUACAAAAAAAAAAAAAAAAGUUUAAAAUACACAAACUACAGUUGUUGUUUUCCAGCGCCGACGUUUAUAAAUUACACCACAUUAACACUGCAUUUAAAUACGGAAACAAAUUAAAACGAGAAAUUCAUCGAAAAGACCCAACAUCCUACAAAUGGCUAUUUACAAUAUUUAGCAGCUAGGAGCUCUAGCACGGCAGUCAAUAUGACUUCAAUAGGGCAGGAUGCUUGGGAAGCCCCAAGCCGGCAGCUUGGCCCGUAACAGUUUUCGGGGACCUGUUUCACCCACCUCUCCCGACACCAAGGCAGAAUUGCACCCAGCCAGGAGGUGCAGCUCUUGCAGAGCAGCCCUGAUGUCCCCUGGCCUUCAGGGUGUAUUGCAAGGCAUUCAGGAGGGACUCUGCAAAGGAUGGGGACUCUUUUCGGAGAAGGCAGAGCUGUAAGAGCGUACAGCUGGCAGCAGGACCACGGCUUCCCAGGGAUGGGCGCUGCUCCAUGCGUGUGUUGUCCCAGCGCACGUCCCACCGCUGUGAGCUACAGGCUCAGCUGUGACUCAGCCCCCAGCACCCCCCCACCGCUGCCUGCAUCAUCUUGCUCAUCACUUCCCGGAGCUGCACGCAUUUUUCCCAGCUCCCAGCAAAUUCCAGCCAGCUUUCAAGCAUUGGGGCUGGGGAAACUGAGGGAGCUCGAGG